AACGAACGCUGGCGGCAGGCUUAACACAUGCAAGUCGAACGGCUGUAGCAAUACAGCAGUGGCAGACGGGUGAGUAACACGUGGGAACCUUCCUCGGGGUACGGAACAACUCAGGGAAACUUGAGCUAAUACCGUAUACGUCCGUAAGGAGAAAGAUUCAUCGCCCCGAGACGGGCCCGCGUCGGAUUAGGUAGUUGGUGGGGUAACGGCCUACCAAGCCUACGAUCCGUAGCUGAUCUGAGAGGAUGAUCAGCCACACUGGGACUGAGACACGGCCCAGACUCCUACGGGAGGCAGCAGUGGGGAAUCUUGGACAAUGGGCGCAAGCCUGAUCCAGCCAUGCCGCGUGAGUGAAGAAGGCCUUAGGGUUGUAAAGCUC
RNAcentral lists this ribosomal RNA (379 nucleotides) under uncultured bacterium. RNAcentral's name for it is "bacterial SSU rRNA". It matches the Rfam family "Bacterial small subunit ribosomal RNA", at positions 29 to 433 of the family's 1533-position model. The record is from RNAcentral.